This 497-nucleotide ribosomal RNA is filed under the name uncultured bacterium. RNAcentral describes it as "partial 16S ribosomal RNA". It matches the Rfam family "Bacterial small subunit ribosomal RNA", at positions 28 to 507 of the family's 1533-position model. The record is from RNAcentral.
GAUGAACGCUGGCGGCGUGCCUAAUACAUGCAAGUCGAGCGAACGGACGAGAAGCUUGCUUCUCUGAUGUUAGCGGCGGACGGGUGAGUAACACGUGGAUAACCUACCUAUAAGACUGGUAUAACUUCGGGAAACCGGAGCUAAUACCGGAUAAUAUUUUGAACCGCAUGGUUCAAAAGUGAAAGACGGUCUUGCUGUCACUUAUAGAUGGAUCCGCGCUGCAUUAGCUAGUUGGUAAGGUAACGGCUUACCAAGGCAACGAUGCAUAGCCGACCUGAGAGGGGGAUCGGCCACACUGGAGCGGAGACACGGUCCAGAAUACUACGGGAGGCAGCAGUAGGCAAUCUUCCGCAAUGGGCGAAAGCCUGACGGAGCAACGCCGCGUGAGUGAUGAAGGUCUUCGGAUCGUAAAACUCUGUUACUAGGGAAGAACAUAUGUGUAAGUAACUGUGCACAGAGUGACGGUAACUAAUAAGAAAGCCACGGCUAACUACGUG